Molecule: long non-coding RNA, 241 nt
Filed under: Lathyrus oleraceus (garden pea)
Lineage: Eukaryota; Viridiplantae; Streptophyta; Magnoliopsida; Fabales; Fabaceae
Description: Pisum sativum (pea) long non-coding RNA (PSAT_LNC012974)
Source: RNAcentral
AAUGGAAAACGAAAAAUAAAUAAAUAAAUAAUAAUAAUAAAAAUAAUAAAGUAAAAUAAAUAAAUAAAAGAAAAAAUCUUGGACUUGGACCUCUCUCAUUUGAGCCCACAGGUCCACAAAAAUCAGGUUAUAAAUUCAGAGUUUCAGUGAAACAAAAGACAAUUUUAUUCCUAUUACCCUGUCUGGGAAAAAGAUAGUGAGAGAAGAACCUGGGGAAAAAGAUAGUGAGAGAAGGGCUAAC